This 465-nucleotide ribosomal RNA is filed under the name uncultured bacterium. RNAcentral describes it as "partial 16S ribosomal RNA". It matches the Rfam family "Bacterial small subunit ribosomal RNA", at positions 28 to 507 of the family's 1533-position model. The record is from RNAcentral.
GACGAACGCUGGCGGCGUGCUUAACACAUGCAAGUCGAACGGAAAGGCCCUGCUUGCAGGGUACUCGAGUGGCGAACGGGUGAGUAACACGUGGGUGAUCUGCCCUGCACUUCGGGAUAAGCCUGGGAAACUGGGUCUAAUACCGGAUAGGAGCCAUUUUUAGUGUGAUGGUUGGAAAGUUUUUUCGGUGUAGGAUGAGCUCGCGGCCUAUCAGCUUGUUGGUGGGGUAAUGGCCUACCAAGGCGGCGACGGGUAGCCAGCCUGAGAGGGUGGACGGCCACAUUGGGACUGAGAUACGGCCCAGACUCCUACGGGAGGCAGCAGUGGGGAAUAUUGCACAAUGGGCGCAAGCCUGAUGCAGCGACGCCGCGUGGGGGAUGACGGCCUUCGGGUUGUAAACUCCUUUCGCUAGGGACGAAGCUUUUUGUGACGGUACCUAGAUAAGAAGCACCGGCUAACUACGUG